This 2109-nucleotide long non-coding RNA is filed under the name Lathyrus oleraceus (garden pea). RNAcentral describes it as "Pisum sativum (pea) long non-coding RNA (PSAT_LNC000147)". The record is from RNAcentral. Lineage: Eukaryota; Viridiplantae; Streptophyta; Magnoliopsida; Fabales; Fabaceae.
UCAACUUAUAAGUGCUUAAACCUAUUAAUGUUUUUAUUUAUAAAGUGAUCAAACAAUUUUCAAUUCAUCACAUGCAAAAGAAGUAAAAUAUGUCUCUAAUCCCAAAUUUAUUUUAUGCUUUGAUCAUAUUUCUUUUUCUUUUUCUUGUUGUAACAAAUGGCUCUAAGUCAUAUUUGAUAUAUUCUUCUACUCCAUGCGAGAAUAGUUCUGAUUGUGCAAGAAGUACGUGCUAUCCUUUUUCAACUCCGAAAUGCAUUCGUGAAAUAUGUCAGUGCAUCUAAGUGUGACAAAUAAUGUGUAUGCAUCAUGAUGUAAGUGUAAUCAAUAAGUUGAAAAAUAAUAUACACUAGAUCGAGAAAAGUACGUGUCAUUCGCGGUUGUAAAAUAGUUUUUAUUUAUUUUAUAUUGAGAUUUAAUAAUUUAUUAAGAAUUAUAAUUAAAAAAAUAAAAAUAACUUUUAAGAGAUGGAAUAUGAAAAUAUGAGCGAUAUGACACAAAGAAUAUUAAAGUGUUAAUAUAGGAAUGUGCAUUCUAAAAUUUAAUUAAAAUUAUUAUCAAAUAAUUUUUUUGAUAUCUUUAUAAAUUUAUGUUAUAUUGUUAAACUUUAAUUAUAUGAUAAAUAAAUGGUUGUAAACUCUAAUUACUAUAUUAGUUUAAUUUAUUUUUAAAAGAAAAUUAUCUUAAUUUGUUAUUAAUAGAAUUGUAAAACUAUAGUAUGAUAUUUUUUAUCGAUAUUAAUUAAAAUAUUAGAGUUUUUAUUAUGAGGUAGAAGGUCUUAAUGGCAUCACCACAUCCACUUUGUAGUGGAUAGCUAAUAGAGGGGGUAAUCCAUUAUUUGUUUGUGCACCACCUCCCCAAUUGAUGUGUGGUGUUUUUGUCUAUGUGCUUUGCAUAGUUUUUGUACUUCAUACUUUGGCUUUUCCUUGCUUGUCCACUAUUAUGUGUUGAGGUUUAAUCUCUACUAAGAGGAAUUGAGUUUUACUCUGACGACUUUGGAUUUUUUCCCUUUAUAGUGUCACCACAUGUGCGUUUAACUUUUAGUGUUAGCAUGGAGGGUUUAAGUGUUACCCUAUUAUUAAAAUAAGUAACAACCAAACAUGGUGAAAAUAUCAUUUUUAAUUCUAUUCUUAUAGAACGUUACAUUGUAAAAUGUUAUGUAAGAGAAGUUUAGCAAAAUGGAUAUUUGUUGUAACAUCGUUUAAGCUCCAUAUUCUUUGGAUUAUCUCUCCAUGGAGUUUAUCAAUUUUGUAAGCUACUUUUCCCAUGGUCAAUACUAUAUAUAUAUAUAUUAUUCCUUCCCAGUUUGGUGCUAGUUUUCCUUUCCCGUCAUUCUUUCUGCCGAUGUCUGAUAUACGAAUGAGAAAAUCUUCAGGGUGGUAUUCCUUGGGCUUUAUCCUUUCUUGAUAUUUGACUAUUGUACUUGAUGACCAAUCAAAAAGUGUAUUGAUAAUGUAAAAUUAAUAUUUAAAAGAUCGUCUCCACGAGGAUUGCGAUUUAAUAAGGUGUACGAUUGUGCGAAUUAAAAGUAAUAAAGGUUUUUUUUUAGUUUGAAUGAGAAAAGGGAAAAUAGAAAGGUUAUCCGGUGCGAAAGACGAUUGAUUAUGUGCGAAAAUAGAAACUUUUAAUUCUAUUCUUAUAGAACGUUACAUUAUAAAGUGUUAUGUAAGAGAAAUUUAGUAAAAAUAUCUUUGUUGUAACAUCAUUUAAGCUUUGAUGAAUUCCAUGUUCUUGGAUUAUCUCUCCAUGGAGUUUAUCAAUUUUGUAAGCUACUUUUCUUGUGCUUGUUCAUGUUGUGUACGUUCCUUCCCAGUUUGGUGCUAGUUUUCCUUCCCUGGCAUUCUUUCCGCCGAUGUCGGAUCUGCGAAGGACAAGACCCUCAUGGUGGUAUUCCAUGGGCUUUAUCCUUUUUUUAUAUUUGAUUACUGUACAUGAUUCUAACACCUUACUUCUCGACUCGACAAUGAAAUGAUAAAACAUGUAUAAAACAUAAAUAUUCACCAAGAAAGAUGCACUCACAACCAUCAAACAAUUUUAAACCACAUAAUAAAGAAACAAUUCAUUUGAUAAGUAGCAGAAAAUUGUAAAACGUUUGGCAUUAAAAGCCUCAAA